UGGGGAAUAUUGGACAAUGGGCGCAAGCCUGAUCCAGCCAUGCCGCGUGAGUGAUGAAGGCCUUAGGGUUGUAAAGCUCUUUCACCGAUGAAGAUAAUGACGGUAGUCGGAGAAGAAGCCCCGGCUAACUUCGUGCCAGCAGCCGCGGUAAUACGAAGGGGGCUAGCGUUGUUCGGAUUUACUGGGCGUAAAGCGCACGUAGGCGGUUUGUUAAGUCAGGGGUGAAAUCCCGGAGCUCAACUCCGGAACUGCCUUUGAUACUGGCAAGCUAGAGUCCGGAAGAGGUAAGUGGAACUCCUAGUGUAGAGGUGGAAUUCGUAGAUAUUAGGAAGAACACCAGUGGCGAAGGCGGCUUACUGGUCCGGAACUGACGCUGAGGUGCGAAAGCGUGGGGAGCAAACA
This 402-nucleotide ribosomal RNA is filed under the name uncultured Devosia sp. Its description in RNAcentral is "bacterial SSU rRNA". It matches the Rfam family "Bacterial small subunit ribosomal RNA", at positions 355 to 774 of the family's 1533-position model. Lineage: Bacteria; Pseudomonadati; Pseudomonadota; Alphaproteobacteria; Hyphomicrobiales; Devosiaceae. The record is from RNAcentral.